AACGAACGCUGGCGGCAGGCUUAACACAUGCAAGUCGAACGCCCCGCAAGGGGGGUGGCAGACGGGUGAGUAACGCGUGGGAAUCUACCCAUCCCUACGGAAUAACGCAUGGAAACGUGUGCUAAUACCGUAUACGCCCUACGGGGGAAAGAUUUAUCGGGGAUGGAUGAGCCCGCGUUGGAUUAGCUAGUUGGUGGGGUAAAGGCCUACCAAGGCGACGAUCCAUAGCUGGUCUGAGAGGAUGAUCAGCCACAUUGGGACUGAGACACGGCCCAGACUCCUACGGGAGGCAGCAGUGGGGAAUAUUGGACAAUGGGCGCAAGCCUGAUCCAGCCAUGCCGCGUGAGUGAUGAAGGCCUUAGGGUUGUAAAGCUCUUUCACCGGAGAAGAUAAUGACGGUAUCCGGAGAAGAAGCCCCGGCUAACUUCGUG
Molecule: ribosomal RNA, 431 nt
Filed under: uncultured bacterium
Lineage: Bacteria
Description: partial 16S ribosomal RNA
Rfam family: Bacterial small subunit ribosomal RNA
Source: RNAcentral